UACGUAGGUGACAAGCGUUGUCCGGAUUUACUGGGCGUAAAGAGCGCGCAGGCGGUCGUUCAAGUCGAGUGUGAAAGCCCCCGGCUCAACUGGGGAGGGUCAUUCGAUACUGUUCGACUCGAAGGCAGGAGAGGGAAGUGGAAUUCCCGGUGUAGUGGUGAAAUGCGUAGAUAUCGGGAGGAACACCAGUGGCGAAGGCGACUUCCUGGCCUGUUCUUGACGCUGAGGCGCGAAAGCUAGGGGAGCAAACGGG
Molecule: ribosomal RNA, 253 nt
Filed under: uncultured bacterium
Lineage: Bacteria
Description: partial 16S ribosomal RNA
Rfam family: Bacterial small subunit ribosomal RNA
Source: RNAcentral